GAUGAACGCUGGCGGCGUGCCUAAUACAUGCAAGUAGAGCGAACGGGCGAGAACUUUGUUCCCUGGAUGAUUGCCGCGCAGGGGUGUGUAACAUGUGGAAAAUGUACGUAAAAGAGGGAGAAAUAUUGGGGAAACUGGAGAUAACCGCGGAUGAGAUUAUGAUCCAUAUGGUUUACAAGAGAAAUACGGUUGUGUUGCUACCAAUUGAUGCUUCGUUGUUGUAUUAGCUAGUUGGUAAGGUAACGGCUUACCAAGGCAAUGAAGAAUAGCCGACCUAAGAGGUGGAUCGGCAACACGGGAACUGAGACACGGUCCAGACUCCUACGGAAGGCAGCAGAAGGGAAUCUUGCGAAAUGGGCGAAGGCCUGACGGAGCAACGCGGCGUAAGUGAUAAGGGUCUUCGGAUCGAAAACCUCUGUUAUUGGGGAGGACCAGUUGUGUAGGUGACUGUGCACAUCGUGACGGUACCUAAUCAGAAAGCGACGGCUAACUACGUG
RNAcentral lists this ribosomal RNA (497 nucleotides) under uncultured bacterium. RNAcentral describes it as "partial 16S ribosomal RNA". It matches the Rfam family "Bacterial small subunit ribosomal RNA", at positions 28 to 507 of the family's 1533-position model. The record is from RNAcentral.